Molecule: ribosomal RNA, 253 nt
Filed under: uncultured bacterium
Lineage: Bacteria
Description: partial 16S ribosomal RNA
Rfam family: Bacterial small subunit ribosomal RNA
Source: RNAcentral
UACGUAGGGUGCAAGCGUUGUCCGGAAUUAUUGGGCGUAAAGAGCUCGUAGGCGGUUUGUUGCGUCGGCAGUGAAAUCCCGAGGCUCAACCUCGGGUCUGCAGUCGAUACGAGCAAACUAGAGUGUUGCAGGGGAGACUGGAAUUCCUGGUGUAGCGGUGAAAUGCGCAGAUAUCAGGAGGAACACCGGUGGCGAAGGCGGGUCUCUGGGCAACAACUGACGCUGAGGAGCGAAAGCGUGGGGAGCGAACAGG